GAUGAACGCUAGCUACAGGCUUAACACAUGCAAGUCGAGGGGCAGCAUGAACUUAGCUUGCUAAGUUUGAUGGCGACCGGCGCACGGGUGAGUAACACGUAUCCAACCUGCCGAUGACUCGGGGAUAGCCUUUCGAAAGAAAGAUUAAUACCCGAUGGCAUAGUUCUUCCGCAUGGUAGAACUAUUAAAGAAUUUCGGUCAUCGAUGGGGAUGCGUUCCAUUAGGUUGUUGGCGGGGUAACGGCCCACCAAGCCUUCGAUGGAUAGGGGUUCUGAGAGGAAGGUCCCCCACAGUGGAACUGAGACACGGUCCAAACUCCUACGGGAGGCAGCAGUGAGGAAUAUUGGUGAAUGGACGAGGGUCUGAACCAGCCAAGUAGCGUGAAGGAUGACUGCCCUAUGGGUUGUAAACUUCUUUUAUACGGGAAUAAAGUGAGGCACGUGUGCCUUUUUGUAUGUACCGUAUGAAUAAGAAUCGGCUAACUCCGUG
This 489-nucleotide ribosomal RNA is filed under the name uncultured bacterium. RNAcentral's name for it is "partial 16S ribosomal RNA". It matches the Rfam family "Bacterial small subunit ribosomal RNA", at positions 28 to 507 of the family's 1533-position model. The record is from RNAcentral.